UAAUUUUAUAGUCCGUAUAUGUAAUUUGGCCACAUAAUUUGACUGCUCUUUAUAAAAACAAAUAACCACAUGCACAGUCCUUUUAUGUAGGGGUUCUCAUUCCCUUUAGGCACACCUACUGUAGUAUAAAAAAUUAAUGCCAGUGUGCCGGUGGCCUCUCACCAUCCGACAGCCUGUACGCAAUCCUAUUUGCUGACCUGCUGGCACGACAGUAUCGAAACAGGCCCUAACGCUAUUCCCCGUGGUGUUUCAUUGCAUGGUUUUCAAGAGCGCUACAGUCGCGUGAUCUCAUUGCAUGGUUUCAGUGCAGUUCAUGAACGAAAUAGUAUCCCCCAAUGCAAAAUUUCCUCGCAUGGUUUCAUAGAUGCGCCAUAGCAUUUAUAUCAAGCAUGCGAUUGGACACGAUCGGAUGAAAUGAAACUCUAAAUUUCAACAGGAAUCAUAUUCUUGGAAUCAGUGUAUAAUACAUAGGUGGUGUUUGGAUCCAAAGUUGAUGGGCUAAAGUUUAGUCCCUAAAAUUUAGCCCCUAAAAUUUAGUCCUUGUAGGGUGUUUGGAUCCAUGAGCUAAAAUUUAGUCUUCCUUGUUGUAAUGACCGAUUUACCCUCAUUUAUUGAUUGCACAUGCAAGGAGGGAGGGUAUAGUGGACGGUAUACACUGCCUGCUCUACUCCACUCGAGAGGGCUGCCUCCGUCGUACUUGUACCGUUCGCGCACCAGCAGCCUCUAGCCAUGGGGUGCAAGGGGUCCAAGCUCGACAACCAGGAGGCCGUCGCGCUGUGCCGCGGGCGCGCGGUGCUGCUCACCGCGACCGUGCGUGGACCGCUAUGCGCUCACCAAGGCGCACGCCACGCCCGCGGACUCCGUCGAGUCCCUCGUGGCGGUGCUGCACCGCCUCCUCCACCAGCCGGAGCCGCCGGUGCUCGCGCUGCCCUUCGAGCGCUAGGGGCGGCGGCGGCCCUUCGACCCUCCGGCGCAAGCUCCCGAAGAAGUCCCUGGUGCCGGAGACGGAGGAGAUCGGGCGAGCGGGGCGGCGGCGGCCUUGCGGGUGCGGGUGGAGGCCGGAGGUCCCCGCCGGCGGAGCCGAGCAGUGCCGCCACCGCGGAGAUGGCCGUGGCGACGGAGGGCGCCGGGAGUGCCGCCACGGUGCCCAGCUCCUCCAGCGCGGCACCGGGAGCACAUGGGUCUACUCCCGCCUCCCGGAUCCAACGCGGCGCCGGUAGGACACGGAGAGGGCGGAGGAGGAGGCGGAGAUCUGGCAGCGGCCGCGGCCCCCAGAUCUGGUGGCCGGUGGCAUCGAGGCCGCUGGCGGCGAGGUCGAGGCGGCAGCGGAGGAGGCGGAGGAGGAGGUGGUGGCGGGGGCGGAGAAGGAGGCGGAGAAGGAGGUGGCCGGCGGCGGCGGGAGCGAGGCGGAGGUGGCGGGGCCGAGCAGAGAUGGCGGGGUCGGUAAGGCGGCGGCGGCGGGCGAAGGAGGCGGGGCUGGGCGGAGCAUGCGGGGAGGGAGGAGAGAGUGCGGGGAGAGAGAGAGUGCGGGGAGGCGAGGGGCGCGUGACUAGGGUGCUGUGCGAGGGGAGGGGUAUGGAGUGUCUAGGAUCACUUUUAGCCCCUUUUAGGGCCUCUUUGGGGGCUGAAAUUUAGCUCCAAAAUUUUAGCUAUUUGUCACUUUUAGCCCUCCCGUUUGGAUCCCAAGAGCUAAAUUUUGAGCUAAAAGUGUAAGACUAAAACUUAGUCCAUGGAUCCAAACAGGCCCAUAGUUUCAUCUUGAUGAAACUCCUUUCCCCUCUCUCUCUCUUCAUAAUUACCUUACCAUGUCAUCAUAAAUGCUAAUGUGACACCGUAUUUAAUGUGCAUGAAAACUUCAUGAAACUUGCAGGGAGAAUAGCCUAAGGUCAUCUCGAUGGGAGUUUCAUGGCAUUAAAUUCAAUGACAAGUCAGCAAAGUUGCUAACUUGUAAAGAUAAUUAAUAGAGGAAGUUUCAUCCGAUGAGAGAAAAGUUUCAUCCUCAUGAUACUCAUCUGGCACAAUUACCUAAUUCUCAGUCUAGGUAACUGUGCAAUGAAACUAUGUACUGAGAUUGGCCUAAGAACCACAAAGAGACUAGCUGGUUAUUAGUGAAUUUGUUGGUAAACUCUAAACAAUUUCAGUUCCAUAAUACAAGUUGUUUUAGUCAUAGUCACACGAAUUAAAGGCAAUGAAUGGACCAUUAUCCUAUCUUUAGCUAGUACUCUCUAAAGUGUGCAUUCAUUAAGUAGGGGCAGGACCAGAAAGUUGCCGGUGGUAGAACAACAAAUAUUUUAAAAGCACUUGUCUAUAGCACACUGAACAUUUUUUUCAACAUUUGUUUUUUGAUUGUCAUUUUGCACGCACAGUGUAGUCCAUCAAACAUGCGGUUUCAGAUCUUCCGCAACCUUAUAGCAUAUCACAUAGAACUACGCCAAAAAUGAUUUGUGUUGGAACAAGAAAAUUAGUAUGCUGGGCAUGAUUGGCACCCGCCAGCACAAAGGUGACUAGUACCACCGGGCGAGGAUCCGCUAGCACAGUGCUGCUGAGCUGCAUGCUUCUCUAUUCUUCCCUCACCGGCUCACGUACGCCUCUCCCUAAUCUAUUCCCCUCCACUCUCUCUCUCUCCCAUUGCAACCGAGGCAUGGGCGCACGGGGCCGGAGCCAGGCGGCGCGUGCUGGCUCCAAAAGAGGCGAGGUGAGGCCCGGCGGCGUGCGGGGCUCGGCCACUGGCACGUGAAACCCGGCGGUGCUCCGGAGGCGGCGGCGCGCGAGGCCCGGCGGCCGCACGGGGCUGGAGGUGGAGCCUCCCUGGCUAGAGGCGGCACACGGGCCCUCCUCAGAUCCGCCACCGCUCAUACAUCUCUUCAGGAUGUGGCAGAUCUGAGGAUGGUCAUGAGGUCUCGACAUUGUUGGGUUGGCGGCUGCUGCGGUUGUGAGGUCCCAGCGCUGAGGAAGAGGAAGGACAUGGUCCAGGACUAGGAGGCGGGAGUGGUGGUGCUGGAGACGGUGGAGGAGGCCGCAGAUGAGCAGAGGUCGUCCAUUGGCACGACAUUAGAGGACGAGGAGAAGGUGGACAGUGGGGACACGGCGGCGUCUGCGGCGGCGAGUAGGAAGGGUGCUGGUGGUGUGCUCUCAUGCACGGACGGCCUCGACGAUGCGGGAUGCCAGUGUGGGACGGCCUGCUCAAGCUGCAGCAGCGGCAGGCGACGACGUGCGGGGCAGUGCACCACAACAGCUUUUUUUAUUUUGAAAAAUCAACUGUGCUGGCAGGUGACGUAACCGCCCGCCAGCACAGUGGUUCACUGUGCUGGUGGACAAGCACCCACUAUCACGGUGGCUCAUUUCUGCUAGCUCAUGAUUGUUGGUGGGUGCUAGACCCGCCGGCAUAGUGGUGUUUUGGCCGCCAACAAAAAUCGUUUUUGGUGUAGUGUAUGUUUGAAAAUUGGUUAUGGGGUAUAAGCAAAGAAAUGAAACGACUAGUCGUGUGCUAGAAGCAGCUGCUACUUGUUGGUCGCUAUGGCUAUGCAGGAAUGAUUGUGUCUUUGAAAGAAAACUUAAUCCUACAAAAUCUUCUUAGUUAUUCAUUAGCUUCAUUCGCGGAUUAUACUAAAAAACCAGCUUCACAGGUCCAGCAAUAGAGAUUAGCUCGUGGGAACCCAAACCCUAACCUCAUCAAAGGCGGAGGAGUUUGCGCCUUGGAUUGGGAAAAGAGAAAGAAGCAAAAAUUGGCUGUGAGGGGACAAGAAAAUGUUUGAAUAAGAUAUUGCUUUUCUGGUUUAAAAAUGUUAUUGGAAUAUGCGUGUUGGCCAUGCAUGUGAACGUGUAACGAUGUAACAAGGGGUGGUAAUAGAUGAUGGCUCUCAUGUCUUCUUCACAAUUCAACUUAGCCAUACAUAUUUUUAGUUCAAAACAUAUAAUAUUAUGGUCCGGCCUUUAUCGAGUCCAACGUUGUUUAAAUUUCGUAGGAUAAAUUAAAAGGUCCAUUACCACCCCUAGGUGUAACAGCUUGUACGUGCAGGUUAGAUCCGCUAGAAUAGGGCAGCUAGAUAUGAGUUAGUUGCCGCACGUCCCUGCCUUGUAGAUGUACUUAUACACAUCACGAGUUAAUACAAUCGUUGUCGACUUGACUCACAGCUCUCUCGUUUAUAUGGUGGAGGUGAUGGGCACAGGAGUGAUGAGGCAACACGAUAAUGGCUCCUCCAUGGUCCAUGCAUUGAUGGGGUUAGUGAGGGAGUGGACGGCAGCGGUGGAUCUAGCGGCUCUUACCAGAAAGAAGUGCAUAUGGGCCUGUUUGGUAGAGCUCCAGCUCUGAAAAAAUAGCUCCAAAUCCAUAGAUCCAGCUAGCUCCACCAUAGAGCUGCUCCACCGUGAAUCUAAUAUCUCAAAAAGCGUUUGGUACAACUCCAUUCUUGUCUUUUAUCUCACUGGCAAUUUGGGCCCAUUCAUCAGAAUAAAAAAUAUCUCCUUCCUGACGCUGUUGCACGCAUGGUUGAGGUGCUGGAGGGCACGGCCUCGCCGGCGGCCUCGCGCGCACUGGCGGGCUAGCGGCCACGCCGGCGGCCAGGCGACCUCGUGCGCGCGGGCGGGCGCGGCCGCGCCGGCGGCCAGGCGACCGGGUGCGGGGCGGUGCUCCGACGGGCGAAGCGGGGCGGCGGGCGGGCACGGCCUCACCGGCGGCCGGGUGUGGGGCGGGGCUCCGGCGGGCGGGACGGCGCUCCGGCAGGCGGCGUGCUGGCAGGCGUGGCCCCGCCGGUGGCCAGGCGGGCGGGUGCGGGAUGGGGCGCCGGCGGGCGGGACGGCGCUCGAGCGGGUGGGGCGCGCGGGCCGCCGGCGAAGCAAGACGGCGCUCCAACGGGCGGGGCGGUGCUCCGGCGGGUACGGGGUGGCGGUCCGGCGGGCGGGGCGCGGUGGGGCUGCGGCGAGCGGGGCGCGGCCAUGGCAGCGCGAGAGGAAGCUGUGAAGAAAUAGAACGAACCGGUCAUUUUCCACUAAUGAGUGGCAGUGGUGGGUAAUUUCCUCCAACUCCACCAACUCCAUGGAUCUGAGGGUAGAUCCACCGUUUUCGUGGAGCAGAUCCGUGGUGGAGUUGUUGGAUCUAAAACCGUUUGGCUGAAAAAAUCUAGAGCAGAGCUGUUUUUGAGGAUCUGGAGCUGCGUGGAGCUCUACCAAACACAGGAACAAGAUGAGAUAUCCACUAUUGGAUGGAGAUCUAAUGGUCCGAAAAAAUUGGGUAUGGAGAGGAAAUUAAAAAAUGUUCAGGUGUGGUAUACAAACAUGUCUUUAAAAAUACUUAUUGUUUUACCACUCAAAGGAAACUGACCAUGUUUUUCCAUCCUGCCCAUCAAUGAUAAAUGCGCUUUUAAGAGUACUCGAAUUUUGUCUUACAGAGAGUAUCUUUUUAGCUUAUAGUGAGUCUCAUCUAAUUAAUUAAAGCAAUACUCAUACCAAUAACAAAAAUGUAUAGCGAAAGGUCCUCUAACCUAGUGGUUAGAGCACUUGACUGGCAUCAAGCAAACCUCACUGACUGUUGUCCUCUUGGUUAGCUGUCUUUUUUUUUUCCCUACAAUGAGAUUUGUAUCACAGGCUGGCAAAUAAACAGGCGAAAACAGUAGAUCUCAAUUGCAUAAUUCAUGGAUGAAUUUGAAGAACCUUGGUGAGUAGUAGGGUGGUAUCUUCACACCUUUCUCUACCACGCCAGCGACGUAUGCUUAAUUCCCUCCAAGUUCUAAUAGUUUAUUACACUAAAUGAAACAAAAUUCUAUAUCAAACACAUGGAAGAAAAGUGUCGGCGUCAAGUGCACUUAAUUUUCUGAGAUUAAAUGUAUUAAAUAAUAUGAAAUUAGCAAUUAUGGUCUACAACAGCAAGUACAUAAAAAUAAGAUCUUUUUGCUUUCUGGUACUACUUGGUGUCACAAUAUAUUUGCUGCUUUAGCUUUAGAUAAAUAAAUCCAGAAAUUCAAAAAAUAGAAAAGUCAGCCUGAAAAUAACUCUUUCCGAGCCAAGUAUAUAUAUAGAGGUAUUUUACGGUACACAAUACUACCUUAUACUACUGUUCGAAAAGGACUCGUAUGUAAGGAUCCAACGGUUGAGAUUAAUUGUAUACUACAAGAACCUUAAGUUGUAGUAUAGGUAGUAUGCAUGAGUAGUAUAUGUCGUAUAAGGAUAUCAUAGUAACCCAAAUGACAGGACUAAAAUUUUAUUUUUGACACGCAUAAAGUUUAAAAGGUAAUAAUUACUAAAUCAUCUAUAGUUAUGAACAUUUAGAUCUUAUAUAUACUAUAUACUACUAAGUAGUAGUAUUGUGUAUCGUAAAAGAGUUCGAUCUUGAAGUUUAUAGCAGAUCGUGUGUCAAAAACUUCUGUUCCAUUAUUUUGUUUGACUUCUUGUAAAUAUGUUAUGUUAUGGUAAAUUCGUCUCCUUAAUGUAGUAAUUGGUUGCUUGAUGAAAAAGUGGUAACUCCCCCUCCUAAUUAUUCUCCUAAUUAUUGUUUCUCGUCAUCCAAAUUCUUGUAAACAUUUCUUGUCCCCUGGUCAUUACAGUAACUGGUCCCUUGGUAACAGCUUGACGACUCAAAAUUGUGGUAAUUCUACAUCCUAAAUUUAUAAUUAUCGCCUUGUGACUUCCAAAUUCUCGUGACUAAUUCAUGGUAAAUUUGUUCCGUUAUUAUAGUAAUUGGUUUCUUGAAAACACACAAGAUUGUAGUAACUCUCCAUCCUAAUUAUCGUCUCGUGGCAUCCGCAUUCUCUUAACGAUUUAAUGGUAAAUUCAACUCAUCAUAAUAUAGUACCGAUUUCCUAUGUCGUCACUCUUCUCUGUAUCAUGUAUUUUUGUAAGUGUCUAAAUAUUUACCAUAUAUAUCGUGUAUUUUUGUAAGUGUCUAAAUAUUUACCAUAUAUUGCAUGCACUAGUUCUACGUUUAUAUCAGAAUGGUCUCGUUCUCUUAACACAAAAACAUGCCUGAUUAAAAAGAAAAUCACGUACACAUGCAGCACGUGUACACAAACCUUGCUUGCUCACUUAUUAUCGUAACCCAGACCACUAGCUUGCACGCACGCCACAACCGUGAACUCAAAAUUCCCGAAACAACCGUCAACAAAUCAACCGGAAUUAACUACGUGUUUAUUUACCAUAAUCACCGUAAUUAAUGUGUGCUCCAACCUGCUCAGCUGGUGCAUGCAACGGACGCGGCCAGCAGGCCACGAGGAGCCCGGUUCUUUGGGUGGCUGGUUAGAUAAGCUAGUUUAUAGCCGGCAACGGAGUAUACUCGAUUAUAUUUAGUAUUUCUUAAAAUUUGUUCCACGUAAAGUUACGUCUAUCACUAUAACACGUGGAUCAAAUGGAAAAGAUAAUUUUAUAGUCUGUAUAUGUAAUUUGGCCACAUAAUUUGACUGCUCUUUAUAAAAACAAAUAACCACAUGCACAGUUUUAUGUAGGGGUUCUCAUUCCCUUUAGGCACACCUACUGUAGUAUAAAAAAUUAAGUGUGCCGGUGGCCUCUCACCAUCAGAUAACCUGUACGCAAUCCUAUUUGCUGACCUGCUGGCACGACGGUAUCGAAACAGGCCCUAACGCUAUUCCCAGUGGUGUUUCAUUGCAUGGUUUCCAAGAGCGCUACAGUCGCGUGAUUUCAUUGCAUGGUAUCAGUGCAGUUCAUGAACGAAAUAGUGUCCCCCAAUGCAAAAUUUCCUCACAUGGUUUCAUAGACACGCCAUAGCAUUUAUAUCAAGCAUGGGAUUGGAUACAAUCGGAUGAAAUCAAACUCUAAGUUUCAACAGGUUUCAUAUUUUUGGAAUCAAUGCAUAAUACAUAAUUUCAUCUUGAUGAAACUCCUUUCCCC
RNAcentral lists this long non-coding RNA (7836 nucleotides) under Setaria viridis. Its description in RNAcentral is "long non-coding RNA (SVIR_LNC001342)". Lineage: Eukaryota; Viridiplantae; Streptophyta; Magnoliopsida; Poales; Poaceae. The record is from RNAcentral.